This 211-nucleotide ribosomal RNA is filed under the name uncultured Comamonas sp. Its description in RNAcentral is "partial 16S ribosomal RNA". It matches the Rfam family "Bacterial small subunit ribosomal RNA", at positions 1174 to 1382 of the family's 1533-position model. Lineage: Bacteria; Pseudomonadati; Pseudomonadota; Betaproteobacteria; Burkholderiales; Comamonadaceae. The record is from RNAcentral.
UGGGGAUGACGUCAAGUCCUCAUGGCCCUUAUAGUGGGGCUACACACGUCAUACAAUGGCUGGUACAAAGGGUUGCCAACCCGCGAGGGGGAGCCAAUCCCAUAAAGCCAAGUCCGUAAGUCCGGAUCGCAGUCUGCAACUCGACUGCGUGAAGUCGGAAUCGCUAGUAAUCGCAGAUCAGCACGCUGCGGUGAAUACGUUCCCGGGCCUU